UAAAGCUACUAAGAGCUAAUGGAGAAUGCCUUGGUACUGACAGCCGACGAAGGACGUGUAAAGCUGCGAUAAGCUUCGGGGAGUUGCUAAAAGACCUUGAUCCGAAGAAUUCCGAAUGGGGAAACCCUGCAAGGUUAAAACCUUGUAACCCGUAACUGAAUACAUAGGUUGCGUGGAGGAAAGCCUGUGAACUGAAACAUCUUAGUAACAGGACGAAAAGAAAAUAACCGAAUGAUUCCGAAAGUAGCGGCGAGCGAAAUCGGAAGAGCCUAAACAUUAUGUACGUGAUAGACUGCAAUCGUUGUGCAUAUUGGGUUGUGGGACUUACCGUAUAAUUUGCAGAUUAUACAAAGAGUUACAAAAUUAUUUAUUAGCUAAAUACAACUGGGAAGUUGAGCCAUAGCGGGUGAUAGCCCCUUAAGCGACAAUAAAUGAUCUCUUGUAAGUAUCCCGAGUAAGGCGGGGCACGUGAAACCCUGUCUGAAUCCACCGGGACCAUCCGGUAAGGCUAAAUACUAGUCAGUGACCGAUAGUGAACGAGUACAGUGAUGGAAAGGCGAAAAGAACAGUGAGAAGCUGAGUGAAAUAGACCCUGAAACCGUUAGCUUACAAUCAGUCAGAGCACUAUUAAUAGUGUGAUGGCGUGCCUGUUGAAGAAUGAGCCGGCGAGUUAUCUUAUGUUGCAAGGUUAAGGAGUUGAUAUCCGGAGCCAUAGCGAAAGCGAGUUUGAAAAGAGCGUUAAGUAACAUGCGAUAGACCCGAACCUUGGUGAUCUAACCUUGACCAGGAUGAAGCGUGGGUAACACUACGUGGAGGUCCGAACCGACUGAUGUUGAAAAAUCAGCGGAUGAGUUGAGGUUAGGGGUGAAAUGCCAAUCGAACCAAGAGCUAGCUGGUUCUCCCCGAAAUGCGUUUAGGCACAGCGUCAGAUUUAUCUUACAGGAGGUAGAGCACUGGUUUUGUGCGGGCGGCGAAAUGCUGUACCAAACAAUGUCAAACUCCGAAUGCCUGUAAUGUUAUUGUCUGGCAGUGAGGCUAUGAGUGAUAAGAUCCAUGGCCAAGAGGGAAACAGCCCAGAACGCCAGUUAAGGUCCCUAAUAUAUGCUAAGUGGUUAAGGAGGUAGAGUUGCUGAGACAACCAGGAGGUUGGCUCAGAAGCAGCCAUCCAUUGAAAGAGUGCGUAAUAGCUCACUGGUCAAGCGACUCCGCGCCGAAAAUACACCGGGACUCAAGCAUAUAACCGAAACUGCGUCAUAUAGUUUACUAUAUGGGUAGGGGAGCGUUCUGUUGUAGGAUGAAGUAAGAUCGAAAGGACUUAUGGACGAAGCAGAAGUGAGAAUGUCGGCAUAAGUAGCGAAAACAUUGGUGAGAAUCCAAUGCACCGUAAACCUAAGGUUUCCCCUGGCAGGCUCGUCCGCGGGGGGUUAGUCGGAACCUAAGCUGAGGCCGAAAGGCGUAGGCGAUGGACAUCAGGUUGAUAUUCCUGAACUAUCAGGUAAUCGUUAUCAGAUGCGGAGGGACGCAGGAGGAUAGGCACGCAGCCGAUUGGAAGAGGCUGUUUAAGCGUGUAGCUAGUUUGAGUAGGAAAAUCCGCUCAGGCGUUAUGACGUGAGGCGUAAUGAGGAGAGUCUACGGACUCGAAGGUGUUGACUCCACACUGCCAAGAAAAACUUCGCACUCGAGAUUAUCCGGUAUCCGUACCGUAAACCGCCACAGGUAGGUUAGUAGAACAUACUAAGGUGCGCGAGACAACUCUCGCUAAGGAACUCGGCAAAAUCACCUCGUAACUUCGGGAGAAGAGGUACCCUGGUAGAGUGAAGCGAUUUACUCGUGGAGCUUGAUAGGGUCGCAGUGAAUUGGCCCAUGCGACUGUUUACCAAAAACACAGGUCUCUGCUAAGUCGAACAAGACGAUGUAUAGGGGCUGACGCCUGCCCGGUGUCGGAAGGUUACGUGGAAGGGUUAGAGGUAACUCGAAGCUCUGAAACUAAGCCCCGAUGAACGGCGGCCGUAACUAUAACGGUCCUAAGGUAGCGAAAUUCCUUGUCAGGU
RNAcentral lists this ribosomal RNA (2051 nucleotides) under human gut metagenome. RNAcentral describes it as "bacterial LSU rRNA". It matches the Rfam family "Bacterial large subunit ribosomal RNA", at positions 1 to 1977 of the family's 2925-position model. The record is from RNAcentral.